CGGACUGGUGAGUAACACGUGGAUAACCUACCUAUAAGACUGGGAUAACUUCGGGAAACCGGAGCUAAUACCGGAUAAUAUAUUGAACCUCAUGGUUCAAUAGUGAAAGACGGUUUUGCUGUCACUUAUAGAUGGAUCCGCGCCGCAUUAGCUGGUUGGUAAGGUAACGGCUUACCAAGGCAACGAUGCGUAGCCGACCUGAGAGGGUGAUCGGCCACACUGGAACUGAGACACGGUCCAGACUCCUACGGGAGGCAGCAGCC
Molecule: ribosomal RNA, 263 nt
Filed under: uncultured Staphylococcus sp.
Lineage: Bacteria; Bacillati; Bacillota; Bacilli; Caryophanales; Staphylococcaceae
Description: partial 16S ribosomal RNA
Rfam family: Bacterial small subunit ribosomal RNA
Source: RNAcentral